Long non-coding RNA from Gallus gallus (chicken), 3053 nucleotides. The record is from Ensembl. NCBI's taxonomy places the organism in Eukaryota, Metazoa, Chordata, Aves, Galliformes, Phasianidae.
CCGUGCUGCCCGCCGCGCGGCCUGGCCCGGAGCCGCCCGCCCCCGCCUCAGCGCUGCCUCUCGUCGUCGGGGCGUUUGCGAUAAGCGCUCUGCUGCUUCGGGGCUUCCGAUGGGCGAUCUCAGGGCUCGGCUCCCCGGGAGGCAUCAAUGUUUCCAGGGCAGGGUGAAGAGAAGGGAUUUGGAAGUAUCUGGAAGCUGCACAUUUUCUGCCUAGAAAGGCUGGAGAGCCAAUGCUGUGAUCGCUGUGGAAGCUUUGCCAUUGCUGCUGGGUGACUCAGAAGGAAUCAGCGUAAUUUAUCUGUGUCUUUUCAAAAGACAAGCCUCCUAAAAAAGCAAAGAGCAGAAUGAUUUUCAACAGAUGAACAGCUGAGACCAGCAGGACUCCCUUUUGAACCAAAAUUUGUCUGUGCAGACAGAAUGAACAAACACGAAGAAUUCAAGGCGUGCUGAACUGAUCCUGAGAUAAACACCAACAUUUUUAAUCAAGUGGAAAAUCAGAAAGAAAUAUCUCAUUAAUGUUAUAUAGCAUUCACAAAAAUGUGAAUUUAUGCAGAGAAAUCUCUCUACUUUGACUACUGACUUAAACAGCACAGUGUUCUUUUUCCAGCCUAAUGUUUCAAAUGGGAGAGGAAACCAGAUGUACCAAAACAACAUUAAAAAGAGACAUACCCUUCCUAGGAAAGAAAUUAAUCAUCAAAGUGAACCUCAGAGGCGACAGUCUUCAUGGAUGUUGGAAAGCAGUGUGCAUCUGCCUACUUGUUUCAAGACUGGAUUGCUCUACCAAGAUUUAUCUCCCUGCUCAACUAAUAAACUACAACAUACUUACCAAAAUGGAAACAAGCAGAACCUCUGGCCUCUGGAGCUGUAGGUAACUUCCUUUUUCAUGUAGAUCUUAGGCCCUGGAAGCUUCUUGGGAAAAAUGCUUUCAUUCUCUUUGUUGGAGGUUUUUGGAGAAAUUACAGAGAUUUGCUCUUUAUCCAAUAGUGCAAGGAAUGGUCACUGACACAGGCACUACAGAACACCCACAAAAUGUCAGCCAUCCUCAGAAACACUGAGUGCAGUCAACGUCACUCUCUAAGCUGACAUGCAUGGCAUUUACCAGCCUUCAUUUGCAAGCACACCCAUCCGUGAAGAAUCAGCUCGGUGGUUCUGGUUCGGCACAGAAGUACACAACCAGACACGUGACAGUGUGUGUCACAACACAGUGAAGAAGCUGCUCUGUGCACUGCACAUACCUAGAGACAUGUGGAAAUCCUGCCCAAAGGGAUUUACUGAGUGCCGGCGUGCUGCCAAGAUCCAGCUAGCCCAGGAGCCUGCAGAAACUUAAACAAGGAUUAUCUUCUGGCAGAAACCAAGCAAGAGCAGAUUCCUCUGACAAAGCAGCAUAGCGUUUGCCGAGGAGCUGCCAUGGGCUUAUUGCUGCCUGACCUGAAGCAUGACCCUGUCCCAUUGGCCCAUGCCCUUGGGGGGCACCUAAGGCUUUGAGUAGCCCAAGUCCCACUUCCAUGAUAGAGCACAUGGGGCAGCCACCGCCCUCCCAGCAGAACAGGUCUGAGCUUUCUCCUCCUCCUACUCUCCAGAAAACUUGCUCUCCAGGCAUGGGAUAUACGUGGGGUGUGGCACGGAUGGGGAGGAAAGCACACCUUAGAUCUAGAGCCCUGCUCAAAAGAUGCUGGUUUUCUUGGGAACCUGUCCUGACACAAAGGUUCAAGUCUCAGCAACGUAGCUACCAGGAAGAUAUUUUUCUUUAGGUUUAAAGCAGCUCUUUUCAAGCUCAGAUUGACUCACAAAGCAAUGUGACCAGAAAAGUUGCUGACUUUUCAAACAGCAAAAGGUAGAAAAACAGGAAUUUGUUUUAACAAACAGCAGCGCUGCACUGGCUGUUAAUCAGCCUUUGGGGCUGUGACAUUUGCUGCAAGCAUGCAGCAUUCCUGUUGCCACCUGAGGAGUUCCACCAGUGUUCAUUAGACAUUGGUAUCACUGGUGUCACCCAAACCUCCAUACAUAAGGAUACCACACAGCCCAGGCUGACCUCCCCUCAGCCCACCUCCUUUUGCUGUAUGCGUCAUGCUGAAGCAGCCACCUGAGAUCCCCUGUCCCUGCAAAAGCAAAGCAGGACGAAGGCCUGUUAUGAAAACCAGAUUAUUCCCUUCACUAUGCAGACAGCAUUGCUGAGAGAUACUACUUCUCCACACUGGUAACAGGGUAAGUUCCCUUCAGCACUUUUAUCAAGAGUCUUUUCCAGAAGCCGGGAUAACCAGCAGCUUCUGUGUGACAUGUUUGUGUGCAAACUCCACCAAAAUUAAUGUGACCGAUGGCUUACUUCACAUUGGAUGUUACAGGAGUCUCAGGGAGCACAGGAGUAGACAUGUCCUAACUGAGACAUGCACACGCAGCAAGCUCCUAGGAAUACACAGGCAUUAAGGGCAUGCUGGGAGAUGGGAAAUGCUUGCUGAAGUCAAGCAGCUUGUUUCAGUUAACAAUGUAGUUAACAUGUUCUCUCUGUCCUUUUACUUAUUUAUUUAUUUUGGUUAAUGCUUAGGUUAGGAACAGCUUAUCUAUCUUGGUAUCUUAGAUAGCAAGAAAGCAACGGAACCCUGCAGCAGAACUUCAGCCUAAGAUGCACUGGGAGUUUGUUAGUACUGUAGCUUCAGUGUUGGUUAGAGGGGAGGCUGGGUGACACCAAAGACAGGCAAUCGGUGCUGGCAGGAGGUCUUGCUGGCAGGAAUGGGGAAGUGGAGGAGACAUGUGGGAUUCCUCAUGUUGUUCAGUUGCUUUCUAAGGAAUGAACGGGUUCAUCUCUCUCAGUACAUACCUAAUUGCAGGACCUACUUGCAGCACCCACAAAACAUUUCUAAAUGGCUGCCGAGGACUAGCUGUGUUGGUAGACACUCCCUGAGUAAAAGGGGAGAAAAAAUGAGGAAGACCAGCAUGAGGCAAGGCAGCAAUCCAAUCAGAUAACCUGCUGACAGAAGGCUGUAUCGCUGAGGCUUGCAAAUCAGCUGGCACUGUCUCAAUACAGACUAGGCAUCAGAUAGCAGGGCUCACAUGCC